This 467-nucleotide ribosomal RNA is filed under the name uncultured bacterium. RNAcentral's name for it is "partial 16S ribosomal RNA". It matches the Rfam family "Bacterial small subunit ribosomal RNA", at positions 28 to 507 of the family's 1533-position model. The record is from RNAcentral.
GACGAACGCUGGCGGUGUGCUUAACACAUGCAAGUCGAACGGAAAGGCCUCUUUCGGGGGGUACUCGAGUGGCGAACGGGUGAGUAACACGUGAGUAACCUGCCCUUGACUUUGGGAUAACUUCAGGAAACUGGGGCUAAUACAGGAUAGGAGCUCCUGCUGCAUGGUGGGGGUUGGAAAGUUUCGGCGGUUGGGGGUGGACUCGCGGCUUAUCUGCUUGUUGGUGGGGUAUUGGCUUACCAAGGCUUUGACGGGUAGCCGGCCUGAGAGGGUGACCGGCCACAUUGGGACUGAGAUACGGCCCAGACUCCUACGGGAGGCAGGAGUGGGGAAUAUUGCACAAUGGGUGGAAGCCUGAUGCAGCAACGCCGUGUGCGGGAUGACGGCCUUCGGGUUGUAAACCGCUUUCGCUCAUGACGAAGCUUUGUGUGACGGUAGUGGGUAAAGAAGCACCGGCUAACUACGUG